Molecule: non-coding RNA, 401 nt
Organism: Chrysemys picta bellii (western painted turtle)
Lineage: Eukaryota; Metazoa; Chordata; Testudines; Emydidae
Source: the annotation of a RefSeq genome assembly
GCUACAAACCAGCAGAAACCCAGCUCCUGUGACCGCUCCCCAUCUCCCUGCACCAUGGCCCAGCCCACGCUGCCUCUCUGUCUCCUGGGGCUUUUCCUGACAGGUUGCUACGCUCAGGUGACUCAGCCGCCCUCCGAGUUCGUGUCUCCCGGGGGGAAUGUCCAGCUCCCCUGCACGCUAGAGGGCAGUUACACCGUCAGUGCCAACCGUGUCGUUUGGAUACAGCAGAGGCUGGGCAGCGUCCCAAGAUACCUGCUGUAUUUUUUCACUGAAUCUAACAAAGGCCUGGGCUCGGGGGUCCCCAGCCGGUUCGCUGGCUCUCGCUCUGGCUCCGACAAGAUUGGCUAUUUAACCAUCACUGGGGCCCAGGCAGAGGACGAUGCCGUCUAUUACUGUGUUAC